RNAcentral lists this unclassified non-coding RNA (329 nucleotides) under soil metagenome. Its description in RNAcentral is "partial contains 5.8S ribosomal RNA, internal transcribed spacer 2, and large subunit ribosomal RNA". The stretch from base 1 to 120 matches the Rfam family "5.8S ribosomal RNA", at positions 35 to 154 of the family's 154-position model. The record is from RNAcentral.
GAUGAAGAACGUAGCGAAAUGCGAUAAGUAAUGUGAAUUGCAGAAUUCAGUGAAUCAUCGAAUCUUUGAACGCACAUUGCGCCCCCUGGUAUUCCGGGGGGCAUGCCUGUCCGAGCGUCAUUACAACCCUCAAGCUCAGCUUGGUGUUGGGCCCCGCCGCCCCGGCGGGCCCUAAAGUCAGUGGCGGUGCCGUCCGGCUCCGAGCGUAGUAAUUCUUCUCGCUCUGGAGGUCCGGUCGUGCGCUCGCCAGCAACCCCCAAUUUUUUUCAGGUUGACCUCGGAUCAGGUAGGGAUACCCGCUGAACUUAAGCAUAUCAAUAAGCGGAGGA